RNAcentral lists this small RNA (106 nucleotides) under Marmota monax (woodchuck). Lineage: Eukaryota; Metazoa; Chordata; Mammalia; Rodentia; Sciuridae. The record is from RNAcentral.
GCUGGGCAUGGAGGUGCACACCUGUAAUCCUAGUUACCGAGGAGGCUGAGGCAAGAGGAUUGCAAGUUGGAGGCAGCCUCAAUAUCUUAGCAAGACCCUGUCUCAA